AGGCACUCGUGGAGAGAAGAAAGGAGUGGAAGAUAGAGGAGAGAAGAAAGCAGGGCUUGGACAGAUAAGGCCAGAGGGGAUUUCCCCCUUCCCAAGUUGCUCCCAGCCACCAAAGAGUUUCCGGGCCUCACAAAGGCUUUUCCCAGCUCACCAGCCUGUCUGACCACAGCCUAACAGUGAGAUCCAGAACAGAUACAUCCUUAAAGCACUUAGGCUUACUGCAAAAGGCCAGCAUAGUUGUGGAAAGAGUCCAGUUUAUUUGGGCUAGGGUCUAUGGGCUGCGAUUUUCUCACACUUGAUUUUAGCCUACAGGCUGAGAAUUGACUAGGUUGUGAUUUCUUAACUGAAUUUUGUUGGGAGCUCUGACUCUGAAUUUGAGUGCCACUGGCUGCUGCAUCUACUUUGUAUCAACUCCAGGUGCUCCUCCCACAUCUAAGUCUGAGGUUUAAGAAGUACAGUAAAGCUGCUAUGAAUUCCCAGCUAUGGGAAUUUUCCUCAAAGCUUCAUUGUCUAAACUCUGAACCUCAUCAUAACCUCAGUUCUGCCUAGCUCCAUAACUAGUAGGUUUCACAAUUUGAUGUCCUCUUGCUGUGCUGACCCACUUGGAACUGGCCAUUCAGCAAGAUCCUAGAAUCUGGGGAUCAGAGACUACAACCCGGAAGGGACCAGGCUCAGAGCCCUGUGGGGUACUAGGCAGGAGGCUCUGACAUUCUGCCACCAACACACAGGAAGCAAACAGGUUUUUUUCUACUGGUGUUGGUGUACUUUGUGCUCAGAGAAUAGAAUAUCCCAGGGGAGUGUCAAACCAUGAGAAAAGGAAAGGUUACCAAGCAACGGCUUCAGGCAAAUCACCUCAGAUCUGCUCUCCAUUCCCCCAGGGUUGUGGGGGUCCGAAGCACAAGCAGAUGUCUGGAGGGAGCUAUUACUCACAUCCUCCCCUUCUUAAUUUCCCCUUCUUAAUUUCGCUCGGUGGCAGUAGCAGCAGUCACAGACCAAUCUCUAUCACUUCAGGAAAGAAGGGGGCAGAAACAGAUGCGUAGAGCAGCUUCUGAAGAUCAGCAGGCCUGUGCAGCAUCAUCUGAGGGUCCCCAGAAUUAAAGCAACAUGAAACCCUUCAUACUGAGUGUGGCCACUUCCCACUGACCAUGACUCACAAAUGGUUUCCAAUUUUAGAAGCUGCCCUGUCCUCAUAAAAGAAUUACCAGGAAGGUAGGAGGUUUGUUUGUUUGCUUUUCUGUGCAUCUAAGUACCCUGACAAUCUAAUCUCUGGAGAGUCUCAGUAACCAGGCAACACAAGUCAUGCUCCAAUUGUGCGGUCCUCAAUCCACUUUUCCUGUGCUAUUCCAGUUCAAAGUAAGAAUACCAAAGCCAGAACUGCAGAAGAUAAAUGUGGAUCUUUAUUACUACAAGCAGAUAACGGGGUCUGCCCCCUCUUCUUAUUGCUGAGUAGAAAUUCUGAGGCAAGUGCUUUUAAAAAGACUAGAACAGCACAUUUUACCUAAGAAUAAGAUUAUAGCUAGUAACCUGUUUUUCUUACAAAAAAAGAAAAUGGAAGGAGAUAGCUUUUGUCUGGUGACAGUUUAUUUUAACCCAGAUGCUUCCUCCACUUGUAAUUUGGCCUCAUUUGUGUUUUCAGAAACAUCACCAAUUCAGACGGGUUUCUUGGGUAAGGACUUAAUGGACAAGGUUAAACACAGCUGUUCUGGUGCCUGAAAUCCUUAAGAGUCUAGCAGGACCGGAGCAAGUAAAAUAAACUCAGAAAGAGCUGUCUGGAUCAGUGUUUCUAGAGACAAAAUGAGUAUAAAUGAGCAUGGAGUCAACAGGCCUCCUGGGUCAAGGUCAGAGGCAACCUGGGGACACGGAUUAACAGCGGAAGAACACUGCCUAUAGUACAUUUGCUAUGAGACAGCACAGAAUUGGACAUUCUGGCCUUUAAUCAUCAGGCUAUCACAAGGAAAAGUGGUCCAGAUUUAGUACUGUGUCAGCACUUUUUAUAAUAAAUGCUUCAUUUACUAGGAAUUUAGCUAUCGAGUUGCAGAUGAUAAAAAUGACACUCAAAUGCAAGGUCAAACAGCAAACAUUUAUAAUUCCUGUCUAUUAGCUAAAUACACAGUCCUAAUUAUCCAGGUGAAAGGGGUAAUUGUUUUCCCAAACAGUGCCUCAAUCUCCAGUGAUUUACAAAGCACUUUUACACACAUCAUCUCGUCACAGUGGUGUGUAUGCCCUUGUUACACAGAUGGAUUGAACUGGAAAUUGUUUCAUUUGCCAGUUUUAAGUAUCUUCCUUUUCCCUGUGGGUGGUUUCUGUAAGGCCUGAUGGACAUAUUAUCAUCUGGAUCUUCCAGGCAAUGACACCUCUAAAGAGGCCGAUGAACUAGAACUAUCAGUUCUAACACCUUAGGCAAGAAUCCCUCAAUCUCUCUGGGUUUCAGCUUCUUCAUGUGUAUACUGUAGAUAUGUUGUCAAAAUUGUGCUAAUCUUCACCAACUAAUAAGAAAUGAUAAGAAUGAGAUUUUGUGGAUAUGGGACUUUAAUAUACAGUGAGAGGAAUAUAAAUCAGCAUGACUUUUUGCUGGUGUUAUGUAAUAAAAUGUAAAACGUACAUACCAUUUCAUGCAGAAAAUUUAUAUCCAAGAAUCUAUCCCAAUGAGGUAGUUACAUAAAUAUGCAAGUAUACACAAGAUGUUCAUCACAAUUAGAAACAACCAAAAUGUCCACCAACAUGAGACUAGUUCAAAAAGAUACGAGGUAUUCAUACAAGAGACUUUAUGCAUCCACUGAAAAGAAUCAUGUAAUUCAUAUUGGUUGACUCAAAUAGAAGCUCCAUCACAUAUUUUCAAGACAAAAGGAAUUACAAAGCAGUAUGGUUGAUAUAAUCCCAUUUAUGUGCAAAUCAAAUAAAUUCCAGAUUUCACUGUGGUUCAAUUCAGCCCAGUGUCACAUUCACAGAAACAACCCAGCAACAAAAAGGCAUUACAGAGUAAUUUCAGCCUUGGCUCUCCAUUUUCAGAAAACAUUAAAGAACCUACAAUUCCUAACCCACAGCACCACAUCUUAAAAUAGUCUCUGUAUCCCACCUUUUUCAUCUUGUUCUCUAAUUCUCACACUGUAAUAGCUCCUGAAGGCUUUCUCCUCCCCAAUAUGCUUUUCUACUCUCAACCAAAGACAUCACAAUGAUACUCAAACAGAUCAGCCACUUCUCUUUUGUCCCUCUUCCUUCUUCCUUUGUUUUUUUUCUUCACUGAUUACCAUACUCCGAAAAAUAAGGUGGAGAAAGAAGAAAAUGCUAAGUGGACAAAAUUUCCUUUCCAGAGAGUAGGAGAAAAAGAGAUUGACUAUGCAUAUACUACAAUGUCUUAACCUUGUAGCAAGCGCAAAAUUAUUUAAGUGAUAUCUACUGCAUAUAUGCCUAGAAGUGUCUGCAAGGAUGUUGACAAAAUUCUUAAGAAUAAUUAUCUCAGUUGGGAUUUCCCUGUGAACUUUGCUUUUAAUUUUAUAUCUCUCCUUAUACCUCUUUGAGUAACUCAUGAUGAACAUGUUUUGUUUGUGAUCAAAACCACGAAAUAAACUCAUGUCAACAUGUAAAAAAAGAGGUUGUAAUGAUGCUCACAAGAAACAAUAGACAUGAAAAAAUACACAAUUUAAGUACAAAGUAUAAGCAUUUUAAAUAAAUACGAUUGGACUGUCUCUUCCAGUUUCCAACAUUAAUAAGCUCCAUUAUUUUGGAAUUAUUUUAAUUACUCCUACAUGUUAGAGUUGGUUAAUUUCUGAACAACAGUCAGAUACUCCCCUGUGUUGCUUAAUUUGUUGUUUUAUUAUCAGUCAGCCCUGUUUAAUUUGUGAGUCCACUGGGUUAUGACUUGUACAGCAUUUAAUGAUUUGUAAAAUAAUGUUAAGUAUUUUAAACUCAUUGCAAUCAUUUUUAUUCAUGUGCUCUGGAAGCCAUCAUUUUGAGGGGGUCUCUUUGGAGAAGAAGGAGUUGGUGUAUGUAUAUUUGUAUACAUUUCAAUUUCUCCAAAUCCACACAUCCAGUACCUCUUUCUAAAUAUAUGGCACUUAUUUAUUUUUAUAAUUCACGAGCCAGACAAAUUUUCCUCAAAAUCAAGGUACUUGCCUGUGCAGUUCCCAACAUUCUGACUCAUGAAUCUCCUCUUAGCUGGGGAAAUUCUGAAAAGAAGUUUGCAACACGUCGCCGUGGGGCCCAGUCACACAGCUGUUAAUAACGACUACCAGGCGGCGAGUGCUCUUUGUUCCUGAGAAGUGAGCUUGUCAGACUCCCCACCCAGAAAUCCCAAAUGGUACCCUGCUCAUGGCUGGAAAUUCCAUCCUGGGAGUUUCAGAAAGCAGAAUUUUUCCCUUAACUACUAUAUUUACACUUCAACAUUUCUUCAACAUUAUAACUAAAUACCUGAAUCAGUUCUAGUCAUGGACAACUUAUUGCAAGUGUCUUUGUGAGAAGAAAAGAAGAAAUAACCGCUGUUCAAAAAUCCUAAGAGACCCUGAAAAAUUGGAAAAAGUGAUUGGAAUCAGGUUUUAGCAGGCUGGCUAUAGAACAGAACCUUCAGAGUGGGGAAAGUACCCAAAGUAAGUGGAAAAUGGCUAUUUGGCCCCACAAGAUGUAGGUGUCAGGAAGGGACUCUACACUUCAGUGAUAUUCUAUAAAUAUUAAGUGACAUUUUAAUACAUUUAGCAGGCUAUAGCUAUUGGCUUUCUUUUUAUUCUGGAGAAGCUUAUCUUUUUGUCCUUCAAAGAGUCACUUGAGUAUCCCUUAGUAAUGUGAAUAAGGGCGAGUAAGCCCCAUUGAACUAGAACUAUAAUCUGAUGGGACCCCUUUACCUCCCAUUUUUUAGUGUGACCUGGGAAAUAUUGCUUCACUUUCUAGUAGGAAGUAGAUCAACCUGCCCAGAAACCUAGGCCCUUCUACUCCUGAAGGAAGAGCUUGGUGGGGUUAUCACCUCCUGAGGGAAGCCUCCUCAGACUUCCCUCACUAGACGAUUCUUCUUUUAUGUAAUUUUACCUUGUAGAACUCCAUCAUUGCCUUAUCACAGUUUGGCUUUGCAUUUACAUUGUUAUUCUUCAUUUAGUAUUUCAAUCCUACCCUGGGCUUUAAGCAACAUUACAGCAGGCCUAAGGUUCUCUUUGUUUACUAUUAUAUUCCUAAUGUCUCACAGAAUGUCUGACUCACAUUAGCACUCAAAAAAUCCAGUACCUGUUGAAUGAAUAAAUGCAUGAGUUGAGAAGAUUUUUUUAGAAUAAUACCAAUCAAGCUCCCAGGGACAGAGAGCAUUAAUGUUCAAAUUACAGGUAUCACCAAGGUAGAAAGACCUAAAGCCAGUAGACAGGCCCUAGAUUUGAGUUAGAAACAGAAAAUGAGGUGGUUGUUUAAUUUCUAUGAUGUGGAAGACACUAGAACUGGUCCUGACCCAUUGUUUCUGGGAAGGCCUGUGCUAGCACCUGGCUGGGUAUAUAAUGAAAAAACAAAACAAAACCCAUGUCUAUGGAUGAUAACAAGGGCCUCACUUUAUUAUGGUCUAAAGUGAUCUUAACUGAGCAAUGGACAGGAAGUGACCUUCCCUUUAAGGAUUGCUCCGGUCAGGAAAAGACUGUCAAAGCAGAAGGUUUCACCCAGCCCCACUUCCAUGUUCCUGGACAGCAUGCAGUGUUUAGCAACAAAAGCAGGCAGAGUCAAAUCAAUACACAAAUCAUGCUUCACCUCCCUGCCUGCCUCUUCUGCUGGAGGGAUCUAACAAGUCACCUUACUCCAUGUGGGGUGCUUCACAUCCAGUGGGUGGUACCCCAUGGACUCUCACCUACCUUCCAUUCAUUUUCACCUGAACCUACCCUACAGGAGAUAGCACCUAUGAAAGUCACCACAUGAAGGAAUUGACGUCUUUAUAACUCAAAGGUCAGUUGGUUUGAAGCCAGUGCCACCAAGUAUAAGCCAGGCCACCCUCAAAUGACAAUUUGUAGCCUAUAUCCUGACACCAUUAACUAUUCUUGGAACCGAGAACUCCCAUCUCUGUAUUUCCAGCAAGCCCAACCUCUGCUAGGAGCUUUUUUCCAUUCACCACCAUUGUCCACCCACAUGACUCAAAGCAAGACUGAAUUUAUCCCUUGCCAACACUUAAUUGAUGCCAGGAUACAAGAGGGCAAUGACAUUAGAGCUGAAAGAAGGAGAGACUGAGUGUCUGGACUGUCUGUUUUUAUAGCCACUUAAGGACUUGUGUACCACAACCUAGGAACUUCCAGUGCAAGUUAUUCCCACCCAAAACUAGGUAGAGAAGCAGUCUUGUUAUAUAAAGACCAAAUGAUAAUAUAUCAUUAAGCUCAGUCUGCCUCUCACCAGUGUAACCUAGUUCUCAAUUUUAUCUGUUAUCAUCCAAAAAUAUAGAUUGAAUCUCAUCACCCUUCGGUUAAAAUUCUCCAGGUAAUUCUCAUUACCUACAGCAGGGGUCCCCAACCCCCGGAUGGUUGACUCAUACCAGUCCCUGGCCUAUUAGGAAACAGGCCUCACAGCAGGAGGUAAAUGGCGGGCCGCUGAGCAUCACCACCUGUGCUUUCCCUCCUGUC
RNAcentral lists this long non-coding RNA (6569 nucleotides) under Homo sapiens (human). Its description in RNAcentral is "HSALNT0372942". Lineage: Eukaryota; Metazoa; Chordata; Mammalia; Primates; Hominidae. The record is from RNAcentral.